CAGAGUGGAAUCUAAUUCUAAGUCAGCAGCUGAUACAGACAUCAGCGAUGGGGAGUACGUUAUCUCAGGGACAUCUCUCCUUCAGUUGUGGAUUUGCUGUGAGGCUUAAAGAAAAUGCUGAAAGAUCUAUGAAAUUCUGAACUGCCAUGCAAAUAAGCUUGACAGGCUGCCAUGAAGUCAUUGGUAUUUGGCAGAGAGCUCUCUCCUGUCCACAUCUUUGCUGGGACUGCCUCCGAGGGACUCUGCUGGAUUUACUGCCUUGGGCAGGGCUCCGUUAACAUCAUCUGUUCUCCUGUUGUCAUGAAAUAAGAGAAGCUAAAGUUCAAGACAGAGAAGAGUCAAGAUCCCAGAGGAAUUUGGU
Molecule: non-coding RNA, 361 nt
Organism: Delphinapterus leucas (beluga whale)
Lineage: Eukaryota; Metazoa; Chordata; Mammalia; Artiodactyla; Monodontidae
Source: RefSeq, a predicted model, not a curated record